CACGUAGGGCGCAAGCGUUGUUCGGAAUUACUGGGCGUAAAGCGCACGUAGGCGGCUUUGUAAGUUAGAGGUGAAAGCCCAGGGCUCAACCCUGGAAUUGCCUUUAAGACUGCAUCGCUAGAAUUGUGGAGAGGUAAGUGGAAUUCCGAGUGUAGAGGUGAAAUUCGUAGAUAUUCGGAAGAACACCAGUGGCGAAGGCGACUUACUGGACACAUAUUGACGCUGAGGUGCGAAAGCGUGGGGAGCAAACAGG
This 253-nucleotide ribosomal RNA is filed under the name uncultured bacterium. Its description in RNAcentral is "partial 16S ribosomal RNA". It matches the Rfam family "Bacterial small subunit ribosomal RNA", at positions 524 to 776 of the family's 1533-position model. The record is from RNAcentral.